Poeciliopsis prolifica (blackstripe livebearer) is the source of this 321-nucleotide long non-coding RNA. RefSeq lists it as uncharacterized. The transcript is spliced from 3 exons. NCBI's taxonomy places the organism in Eukaryota, Metazoa, Chordata, Actinopteri, Cyprinodontiformes, Poeciliidae. The record is from RefSeq and is a predicted model, not a curated record.
CACUGGGUGUUGGAAAAGAAAAGGCUGAAUUAUUGGAUUAUUCCUGUAGCUGUGCAGCUGGUAAAGGUGUUUGCAAUCACGUAGUUGCACUUCUUUACCAGACAGCACACCAGUCCCAACUCCAGGUGCCAAAUGUUCCUCCUGCACAGACCAAGAACACAGGGGAAACAUCCUGAACCUGUCAGCGACAUGGUGGUGCAGAAGCCUAAAACUAUGGGGAAAAGAUAUCUGCACUCCACACUUUACAGAGCUUACACAGAUCCUGACAUCAGGAGAAAAAUUACACCUGCUGGAGUCCCAACCACUUAUGGCUCUUGUCCU